GGGGACGACCUGGCUUCGACGUGGGUAGGAAACUUGAGGUGCAUGCCGAGGGGCAAAAUACCUCGUAAAAAUUAGUUGCAAAACUUAUAGUUGCCAACGACGACAACUACGCACUAGCCGCUUAGGCGGUUAGCCUCUGACUGGAGCCGUGCCUGUGCGUCCAGCGUCCCUCGGGACACUUCAGGGGUCAUAUCUCACGGGAUCGUGAAAAGGCAUGUCCGGGGCCAAUUCACUAAAACCUAACGGAAUCGCCACUUUCGUACCAUGGCCAUUGGGGACAGAGCGGUUAAACCAAAUAAUGGUUCUAAGCAUGUAGAUCCAAAAGCGGAGUGCUUGCGGACGCGGGUUCGAUUCCCGCCGUCUCCACCA
Molecule: transfer-messenger RNA, 369 nt
Filed under: Gammaproteobacteria (g-proteobacteria)
Lineage: Bacteria; Pseudomonadati; Pseudomonadota
Also listed under: 1 other name
Description: JADFYS01 sp015232955 Standard tmRNA
Rfam family: transfer-messenger RNA
About the family: Bacterial tmRNA, also known as 10Sa RNA or SsrA, is named for its dual tRNA and mRNA-like properties.
Source: RNAcentral